Molecule: ribosomal RNA, 541 nt
Filed under: uncultured bacterium
Lineage: Bacteria
Description: bacterial SSU rRNA
Rfam family: Bacterial small subunit ribosomal RNA
Source: RNAcentral
UGGGGAAUCUUGGACAAUGGGGGCAACCCUGAUCCAGCCAUGCCGCGUGAGUGAUGAAGGCCUUAGGGUCGUAAAGCUCUUUCGCCUGUGAAGAUAAUGACGGUAGCAGGUAAAGAAACCCCGGCUAACUCCGUGCCAGCAGCCGCGGUAAUACGGAGGGGGUUAGCGUUGUUCGGAAUUACUGGGCGUAAAGCGCACGUAGGCGGACCAGAAAGUUGGGGGUGAAAUCCCGGGGGCUCAACCCCGGAACUGCCUCCAAAACUAUUGGUCUAGAGUUCGAGAGAGGUGAGUGGAAUUCCAAGUGUAGAGGUGAAAUUCGUAGAUAUUUGGAGGAACACCAGUGGCGAAGGCGGCUCACUGGCUCGAUACUGACGCUGAGGUGCGAAAGUGUGGGGAGCAAAACAGGAUUAGAUACCCUGGUAGUCCACACCGUAAAACGAUGAAUGCCAGUCGUCGGGUAGCAUGCUAUUCGGUGACACACCUAACGGAUUAAGCAUUCCGGCCUGGGGAGUACGGUCGCAAGAUUAAAACCUCAAAUGAA